CGAAAAGGAAAUCCAAUUUCGGUAAGACUUGAUCUGAAUCGUAGUUCAGAUCCAAGUCGGUUCAGUGAGGGCGACCGCGAAAGUCACCGAAUGGGUUCGGUCCGUCUUUUCCUGAUCUUUGUUUGUCCCCCCAAAAAAGGCGUGAGAGGACGUUGCAGAUGUCCGGGAUGCUGUUUCCAGAUCCUGCCUUCUUGUCCUUUGCGCUCAAGUCUAUGGCCAGUACUGCCCGGGGCAAUAUUAGCAGUUUUCUGA
This 252-nucleotide ribosomal RNA is filed under the name Triticum aestivum (bread wheat). Its description in RNAcentral is "partial small subunit ribosomal RNA". The record is from RNAcentral. Lineage: Eukaryota; Viridiplantae; Streptophyta; Magnoliopsida; Poales; Poaceae.